GCCUGGCUGGCUCAGUUGGUAGAGCACGUGACUCUUGAUCUCAGGGUCAUGAGUUCACACCCCAUGUUGGGUG
Molecule: transfer RNA, 73 nt
Filed under: Mustela putorius furo (domestic ferret)
Lineage: Eukaryota; Metazoa; Chordata; Mammalia; Carnivora; Mustelidae
Rfam family: tRNA
About the family: Transfer RNA (tRNA) molecules are approximately 80 nucleotides in length. Their secondary structure includes four short double-helical elements and three loops (D, anti-codon, and T loops). Further hydrogen bonds mediate the characteristic L-shaped molecular structure. tRNAs have two regions of fundamental functional importance: the anti-codon, which is responsible for specific mRNA codon recognition, and the 3' end, to which the tRNAs corresponding amino acid is attached (by aminoacyl-tRNA synthetases). tRNAs cope with the degeneracy of the genetic code in two manners: having more than one tRNA (with a specific anti-codon) for a particular amino acid; and 'wobble' base-pairing, i.e. permitting non-standard base-pairing at the 3rd anti-codon position.
Source: Rfam by way of RNAcentral